CUCCGUAGGUGAGCCUGCGGAGGGAUCAUUACACAAAUAUGAAGGCGGGCUGGAACCUCUCGGGGUUACAGCCUUGCUGAAUUAUUCACCCUUGUCUUUUGCGUACUUCUUGUUUCCUUGGUGGGUUCGCCCACCACUAGGACAAACAUAAACCUUUUGUAAUUGCAAUCAGCGUCAGUAACAAAUUAAUAAUUACAACUUUCAACAACGGAUCUCUUGGUUCUGGCAUCGAUGAAGAACGCAGCGAAAUGCGAUAAGCAGUGUGAAUUGCAGAAUUCAGUGAAUCAUCGAAUCUUUGAACGCACAUUGCGCCCUUUGGUAUUCCAAAGGGCAUGCCUGUUCGAGCGUCAUUUGUACCCUCAAGCUUUGCUUGGUGUUGGGCGUCUUGUCUCUAGCUUUGCUGGAGACUCGCCUUAAAGUAAUUGGCAGCCGGCCUACUGGUUUCGGAGCGCAGCGCAAGUCGCACUCUCUAUCAGCAAAGGUCUAGCAUCCAUUAAGCCUUUUUUUCAACUUUUGACCUCGGAUCAGGUAGGGAUACCCGCUGAACUUAAGCAUAUCA
RNAcentral lists this ribosomal RNA (559 nucleotides) under uncultured fungus. Its description in RNAcentral is "eukaryotic LSU rRNA". The stretch from base 197 to 350 matches the Rfam family "5.8S ribosomal RNA". The record is from RNAcentral. Lineage: Eukaryota; Fungi.